This 263-nucleotide ribosomal RNA is filed under the name uncultured bacterium. RNAcentral describes it as "partial 16S ribosomal RNA". It matches the Rfam family "Bacterial small subunit ribosomal RNA", at positions 333 to 594 of the family's 1533-position model. The record is from RNAcentral.
UGAGCCUACGGGACGCAGCAGUGAGGAAUAUUGGUCAAUGGGAGAGAUCCUGAACCAGCCAAGCCGCGUGAGGGAAGACGGCCCUAUGGGUUGUAAACCUCUUUUGUCGGAGAACAAAACCCGGGACGUGUCCCGGACUGCGUGUAUCCGAAGAAAAAGCAUCGGCUAACUCCGUGCCAGCAGCCGCGGUAAUACGUAGGGUGCAAGCGUUAUCCGGAUUUAUUGGGCGUAAAGGGCUCGUAGGCGGUUCGUCGCGUCCGGUG